UUAAUAAUGUUGAGACAUACAGAAGAAACAUUUUGAGUUAUUUUAAAAUUCCAUUCCAUUAUACUGAGCAACAGAAUGACAGUUAUAAUUAAAUCGAUCUUUUACUAUUUUUGUUGUCUUCUGAAUAGUUAAAGGUAGGAGCUGUUUUGCUAGAACAGUGUGGUCUUCAGUUCAUUAGCUACCUUUUUUAAUUUAUUUUUUAAUUGGAGAAUAAUUGCUUUACAAUGUUGUGUUGGCUUCUGCCAUACAACAAUGUGAAUCAGUCAUUUUAUAUGUGUGUAUAUAUAUACAUAUAUACUCCCUCUUGAGCCUCCCCCCACAUCCUGUCCCUCUAGGGUCACAAAGCACAGAGGCUGACUCCCUGUGUUAUAAAGCAGCUUCCCACUAGCUAUCUAUUUUACACAUGAUAGUGUAUAUAUGGCAAUGCUACUUUCUUAGUUCCUCCCAACCCUCUCCUUCUGCUCCUGUGUCGACAAGUCUGGACACAUGACUCCACCCCAUCAUCUGUCUUAUGGUUCUUUAGAUCUUUAGUUGUAGACCUUUUCCAGAAGUUUCCAGUUUUUUUCAUCCAUGGUUGUUCUGCAAAUGGUUGUGACUUUGGUGUGCCUAUGAGAGGAGAUGAGGUCAGAUGAGUGUCUUUGUGCUCUAUCAUCUUGUGUGGUCUCCUGAAUUUAAUAUUGAGGAAAACCCUUGAAAAAGUACUCACGAGAUCCACUGGCCUUGAUGCCUCCUGAAAGAGUUUUAGUCUUGGAAUGGCUAAAGAUGUAGGAACAGAAUUCUGCCACUUGUUGUACAAACUUAGGAUCCAGAUCAUCAUUAUGCAGUGUCUCAAGCUGGGCAAGCUUCUUCUGUGUUUUCACCUUUGUGUUUGAUACACAAGGACUUAUGAAUGGAGGAAUUCUUUCUGGCUUUGGUACCAUCCUGGACCACAAAAGGAUACUGCAAGAGGUCGAUAGCCCCCUGGUCAAUUUUGUUCAUGGUGUUGUAUACAAAAGUACUACACAAUAGUAGUGCCAGUACAGAUAUAUGGGUGUCAUUUGUCUUGUCACCCUAGAAGUCAGAAUAAAUUUCAGUCAUGUCUCAUGACACUCCCAUAUGAACAGUUGCUAAAAAUAGACCCUUGAUCUACAAAUGUUAAACAGGACAAACUAAAAUGGUUGUGAGAAGCAUGGGAAAUUUAGUUCUGUCAUUAGCAUUGAUAAUUUUAUAUAAAACCAUAUUUUGUUAACUUAUCAGUCCCCCUUAUAACUGGUUAGGUAUUUGCAAAAUCAAUAGUCAAAGUUACUGAAGGUCACCAGAGUAGUUAAAAUCAAGAUUUUCAACUGUGUAAAACAAAGUUGGUCUGUAUGCAUAAUACAUGCAUCUAUUUUAUUGAGUAACUAUUAUAUACAUGGAAGUUCAUAUUACUGAUCUUAUCUGAUACUCAAAAACAAUGCUGUGAGAAUAAGGUUCUAACCACUGUCUCUAUGUUACAGGUAAGUAAACUAAAGCAAAAAUGGGUUGAUCAUUUUGAAUUGUGGUAAAUCAAAAGCAAAAUGAAGACAUGAAAAACAAGAGAAGUACAAUGGAAAGAUCCCAUUUUGUGCUCAAGCCAGCUCAUACCAGCUUACAGCAGCCGAUUGUGUACACCUUUUCUGAGCCUUGAGUUUAGUGACUUCACUUUGGUAGCUUGGAGUCAGCUGUGAUGGGAGCACUUAGAAAACUGGAAAGUACUACAAAUCAAGGCUUUUUUUCUUGCCAGAUAGAAGUGGGAAAAUAAUAUGUAUCUCCUGUGCAAAUGAUAAAAUGGAUGAGACCAAAGGGGAAAUAGGAGAUUUGAGGAGACUUAGUCUUGCUUGUCAAAGUCUUAAGAGCUGCAAGUACUAGGGUCCUGAUUUGGACUCAAGUUCUGCUGCCCUGAAGCCCACUGCUAACCUCUGGCCUCUGCAGGGUCACUCAUGACGGUAACUUUUUUUGCACCAUCUCUCUCUUCAGUUCGGUUAACUGCCUAGCUCCACAUUAGCAGUCUCCCAAUUGUGAUUCUGGCUUUCACACCUAUUUUUCUCACUUCAGGUUUCUAAAAUUUGACUAUUAAAAACAAAAAGGGGAAAAAACGUAUACCCUGGACAAGUAGAAGUAAAAAAAAAAGUCUCCCCAUGUAAAGAGUGUUCAGGGAUGAGGAGGUUGAUUAAAAAGAAAUUCUUGUUCCUUACCUUCUCUACGUCUCCGAGUCCCUCAGUGUCAAGAAGAACCAGGGUGUGGUUUGGUUUCUUGGGGUGAGGCACACACCACAUCCAGAUGCCCUUCGUGUGAGACUGCACUGUAGAUCCAACUGAGAAUCCUACAGGGGGAAUUGAGACGCUGUAAUAGAGGAGUGGAUCUGGAAACUGGAGACUGUCUUAAGUGAGCUACCAUUUAAGGAAAGCAAGAGGAAAAGCUCUUAUAAAGGAGAAAAAUGGAAAUCAAACAAGAAGGAGAUGUGCAAAGUAUGUGCCAUGAUAAUGAAGGAGGAAACAGACAGAACAGGCUCUAUCUUGAAAGUAAGACUCCAUCUUGGGCCAGACUGUGGACUUUGAGCUAUAUGCCCAGUAUCUAUGGAAACGACAAACCAACUGGAAAACCUGGCCCCCAGAAGGAAGAGCCCCAGGGCUUGUACCUAGACUCUCUGCUGCCUUAAAGAAUACCCUAAUUAUCUGUGUAAACUAAUAGAAUCAUACAUUCUAUUAUGCUUAUUAGGGUCUGACCACAGGCCUAUUGAUAAUUGUCCAUUGUUAAACUACCUAGGCUUAAGGCAUAUGAAUCA
This is a long non-coding RNA of Bubalus bubalis (water buffalo), 2782 nucleotides long. RefSeq lists it as uncharacterized. NCBI's taxonomy places the organism in Eukaryota, Metazoa, Chordata, Mammalia, Artiodactyla, Bovidae. The transcript is spliced from 4 exons. The record is from RefSeq and is a predicted model, not a curated record.